UGNNANUGGCCNGACGUCGCAUGCUCCNGGCCNCUCAUGGCGGCCGNNGGNAUUUGANUGAGUUUGAUCCUGGCUCAGGACGAACGCUGGCGGCGUGCNUAAUACAUGCAAGUCGAGCGAGGUCCAGCGGCUUUCGGGCUGCGAAGACCUAGCGGCGAACGGGUGAGUAACACGUGAGAAACCUGCCCUGGAGACUGGGAUAAGCCGGGGAAACCUGGUCUAAUACCGGAUGUCCUCACCGGAUCGAGUGUUCUGGUGAGGAAAUGGUCCGCCGCUCCAGGAGGGUCUCGCGGCCUAUCAGCUUGUUGGUGAGGUAACGGCUCACCAAGGCGAAGACGGGUAGCUGGUCUGAGAGGACGAUCAGCCACACUGGGACUGAGACACGGCCCAGACUCCUACGGGAGGCAGCAGUAGGGAAUCUUGCGCAAUGGGCGAAAGCCUGACGCAGCAACGCCGCGUGGGGGAUGACGGCUUUCGGGUUGUAAACCCCUUUCGGCAGGGACGAAAAUGACGGUACCUGCAGAAGAAGCCCCGGCCAACUACGUGCCAGCAGCCGCGGUAACACGUAGGGGGCAAGCGUUGUCCGGAAUCAUUGGGCGUAAAGAGCUCGUAGGCGGCUCGGUAAGUCGGGCGUGAAAUUUCAGGGCUCAACCCUGAAACGCCGUCCGAUACUGCCGUGGCUAGAGUCCGGUAGAGGAGCGUGGAAUUCCAAGUGUAGCGGUGAAAUGCGCAGAUAUUUGGAGGAACACCAGCAGCGAAGGCGGCGCUCUGGGCCGGUACUGACGGUGAGGAGCGAAAGCAUGGGGAGCAAACAGGAUUAGAUACCCNGGUAGUC
RNAcentral lists this ribosomal RNA (835 nucleotides) under uncultured marine bacterium. RNAcentral describes it as "partial 16S ribosomal RNA". It matches the Rfam family "Bacterial small subunit ribosomal RNA", at positions 1 to 795 of the family's 1533-position model. The record is from RNAcentral.